ACGUACACUCCUGCGGGAGGCAGCAGUGGGGAAUAUUGGACAAUGGGCGCAAGCCUGAUCCAGCCAUGCCGCGUGAGUGAUGAAGGCCCUAGGGUUGUAAAGCUCUUUCACCGGUGAAGAUAAUGACGGUAACCGGAGAAGAAGCCCCGGCUAACUUCGUGCCAGCAGCCGCGGUAAUACGAAGGGGGCUAGCGUUGUUCGGAUUUACUGGGCGUAAAGCGCACGUAGGCGGACUAUUAAGUCAGGGGUGAAAUCCCGGGGCUCAACCCCGGAACUGCCUUUGAUACUGGUAGUCUUGAGUUCGAGAGAGGUGAGUGGAAUUCCGAGUGUAGAGGUGAAAUUCGUAGAUAUUCGGAGGAACACCAGUGGCGAAGGCGGCUCACUGGCUCGAUACUGACGCUGAGGUGCGAAGGCGUGGGGAGCAAACAGGAUUAGAUACUCCUGUAGUCCCA
This 452-nucleotide ribosomal RNA is filed under the name uncultured organism. RNAcentral's name for it is "partial 16S ribosomal RNA". It matches the Rfam family "Bacterial small subunit ribosomal RNA", at positions 329 to 797 of the family's 1533-position model. The record is from RNAcentral.